GGGCCCGCACAAGCGGUGGAGUAUGUGGUUUAAUUCGAUGCAACGCGAAGAACCUUACCAGGGUUUGACAUCCUGCGAAUUUCUGGGAAACCGGAAAGUGCCUUCGGGAGCGCAGUGACAGGUGGUGCAUGGCUGUCGUCAGCUCGUGUCGUGAGAUGUUGGGUUAAGUCCCGCAACGAGCGCAACCCACGUCUUUAGUUGCCAGCAUUUAGUUGGGCACUCUAUGGAAACUGCCCGUGAUAAGCGGGAGGAAGGCGGGGAUGACGUCAAGUCCUCAUGGCCCUUACGGUCUGGGCUACACACGUGCUACAAUGGUGGUGACAGUGGGCAGCGAUACUGCAAAGUAAAGCUAAUCCCAAAAAACCAUCUCAGUUCGGAUUGGACUCUGCAACUCGAGUCCAUGAAGUUGGAAUCGCUAGUAAUCG
This 425-nucleotide ribosomal RNA is filed under the name uncultured bacterium. Its description in RNAcentral is "bacterial SSU rRNA". It matches the Rfam family "Bacterial small subunit ribosomal RNA", at positions 917 to 1344 of the family's 1533-position model. The record is from RNAcentral.